Molecule: long non-coding RNA, 2585 nt
Organism: Triplophysa dalaica
Lineage: Eukaryota; Metazoa; Chordata; Actinopteri; Cypriniformes; Nemacheilidae
Exons: 3
Source: RefSeq, a predicted model, not a curated record
UAUUGUGUAACUCGUGACAGACAGGCAGAAGAAUCUGUCUUCAGCUCUCCGUGCUGCCUCAGGGUCUCUAACAUCUCAGAUCGAGAAACUAUAGUCAGGUUUUAUGGUCGAGGAAACUUUAACAGAGACUUUGUAAACUUUUCGACUGCAGGAAGGAAGUCUUAACGCAACCCAGAAAAACACCCCAACUCAGAAUGUCCACGUGUGGCUCGUGUUUCUGGGCCAUCGUCUGGCUGGUGGUUCUGCUGGUUCUGGGCUGGCCUCUGAGUAUCGUCCUGGGAGGGCUUUACGGUCUCAUCGCCCCUCUCACCGUCUGUGUCGGUCUGGACCGGCUUGCUGACCUUAUGAUGGAGGGGGCGAACCUGGGCCGAAGAUGUGCCCAGAACAUGAGGCACGGCAAACCACUGUGCUGACACCUCGACCCUUGAGCUCACCUUGAAAACAUCACAUGCCUUUUCAUCAAAGUCUUUUGGUUCAAGUUUAACACUUGUUUUUUUUUAACUACAGUAAUAUUGAAGGUGCUUUUCUUGUGUUCCUUUUGUUAACAUGCAAUUUAUUGAGCAUUUAACCCUGUAAGACUCGACAUUAGUCAUCUUUAAAGUCUUUAAAUGUUGUCCUUUGCUCUCUGUGCAAGCCUGUUUUUGGCAAAAAACAUUUUUUUAAAGAAAUUGAAUUUGAAGUUGAAGUUGUUUGUGUUGCUGUGACUAUCAGCAUUACGUCUGAUCUACUUUGUAAGUGGCUAUUUAGGUUUUUUUAGGAGCAGGUAAACCUGAUACCAAUGAUCCCACAAAAAAUAAACUACCACUGAAUGAUGCAUGUAACCUUGGAAGCAGCAGUUUUCUACAUGUCAUACUUCAGUUAACAUAGAUGUUGUUGGGAAACGUACAAUUAUUAAAGUAACAUAUUUGUUCAGUAUGUGGCGAUGACAGCACAAUGAAGUCAAUUGGGGCUUUGCAAAGACGUUAUAUUUAUACCAGCAUUUAAAGCAUGAACAGCUACAUUUAGUCUCUUUUUAUGCUCCGUAGAGGUGUGAUAAAUGCAUUUACACAUGAAUAACAUCUGCAAAGAAAAAAUACAAAAUAGUUUGAACAGCUGUAAAUACAGAAACAUAAAAUUGUAAUAAAAAUAAUUAUGAAAUUAUAAAAUUUUAAUGCCAAAAUCGAAAAUUAUACAUUUCAAAUGACAAUUGUUGGAUAUAAUUCUAAAUAAAAAUAAAUUCUGUAAUUUGCUUGUGAUGUCACCCCCGUGACCCCCAGGAUAAGGGCUUUGAGUUCCUUUUUUACGCAUACAGUGCGCGUUACGCAAAUUUCAUCAUCAGAAUAAUACGCACGUACUGUACGGGCCUUGCCAGAAUUUUGUUCCCUCCUGUUAAAAGUAUGCACAGGUUGCGCAUGUGUACAUGCAUGAGUCAAAAGCUGUAUACUUUACAAAGAAGAGCGCGUUCGGCUGUAAGGAAAAAGAAGUAUACCACAGGCUUAAGUGUUCCUCAACUGAGUGUACAUCUAAGAAGCACAAGGUGCUUGAAAAUGACAAUGUGUAUGUGAAAUGCUGCUGAAAAGGUCAAACGUUCAGGCUUCAUUUCUCUACAAACAUCAUCAUCUUUAACAAGGUGCAGGACAUCAGAGGAAAUAUUAGUUCUCACCAGAUUCUGCUGCGUUGGGAUGAAGGGGGAAACAGGAGACUGACACUGGUGUCAUGUUAGCAGGACAUCCGGGAGGAACUGCAAAGCCAAGCAUUGUGAAUCUACACUGCUGUUUCACUGAUCCAGCAGUGUCACUCAUUACUGCCCUCUGGAGGCUAAAGGUGACAUCUGUCUGUCCAUCCAUGCAAACUAUGUGGACACCCUGUUCAAAUAAACAGUUUCGGCAGUUUAACUCUUUUGGCUUUGAUAUGACAGUGACCCUCCGCAUAUUAAGGACCAUAAAGAACCCGAGGGGAACCAUCACCGGCCAAAAUUGUCUGGUUUUCAUUUUCAACUUUGUGCUGGCAGCCGUGCACAAGCCCUCCUCACAGCGUGUGGUGUAGGAAGCACAUUUGACAGUUGGACUGUAAAUAUUUAAUUCAAGCGUGAGAUGAAGAAUGGAAAAGGGCCUCCCUGUGCUUCUGCCAUAUGGAAAGAUCAUGAAACAUCUGAUCAGCUUCACAUUGCUGCUCUCACUUAGCUCUGACACAUGGAGAAGAUACCAGGCCUGAUCGUGUCUCAGUACUGAACGCGUGUGUUUGUGCAUACAUGAAUUGAUAUUCAUCUUAAUUUCUCUAUGCAGAAAUUAAUAGUGUGAGCUGAAUGGAUGUCACCAAAUUUCACUUCGCACAAAAAGUAAUUGAGUUAGUAACUGAGUUAUAUCAUUAUAAAAGUAACUAGUUACCAGGGAAUGUAACUAUAACAUUACCUUGUAUGUUCAAAUAUUUCAAAUAACUUGGAUGCCCCAAUUUUAAAUAUGUUCAAUGAAUGAAGCAGAAACUAAAUCGAAUAAAUAAUUUGUAUAAAACAUUGUACACUUAUCUACAUUAUUUUAAUGUAGCUGUAAUGAAGCCUUUUUACUUUCAAGUGCAAUUUUAAUUAUCUGUACUUUAUCAGUGUUUUU